UAAAAUUAAAAAAUUUGGCGGUAUUUUAGUCUUUUCAGAGGAACCUGUUCUAUAAUUGAUAAUCCACGAUUUAAUGUACUUGUUUUAAUAAAUUUAUAUAUCGUCGUAGCUUGAAUAUUUUAUAAGAAAUUUAAUAUUCGAGAUUUUUAUUAAAAAAUAAAUCAGAUCAAGGUGUAGUUUAUAAAUAAGAAGAAAUGGGUUACAAUUAAAAUAUUAAUGAAUUAAUUUAUAUAAUUAAAUUAUGAAAUUGGAUUUGAAAGUAAUUUUUUAUAAUUUUAAAAAAUGAUUUUAGCUCUAAAAUAUGUACAUAUUGCCCGUCACUUUUGUUUUAAGAUGAAAUAAGUCGUAACAAAGUAGAUUUACUGGAAAGUGAAUCUAGAAU
This 382-nucleotide ribosomal RNA is filed under the name Eleale cf. aspera NLG-2013. RNAcentral's name for it is "partial 12S ribosomal RNA". The record is from RNAcentral. Lineage: Eukaryota; Metazoa; Arthropoda; Insecta; Coleoptera; Cleridae.